CCACCUGGCAGCCACCACUGUGCUCUGUUUCGAGGAGCUGGGAUAAUUUCAAUGUCUCCUAAAUGGGAAAAACAGUCCUAGAAUUCACAUGGAACCACAAGAACCCCAGAUAGCCAAAGCCAUCUUGAGCAAGAGCAACAACAUGGGAG
This 149-nucleotide long non-coding RNA is filed under the name Mustela putorius furo (domestic ferret). RNAcentral describes it as "lncRNA (ENSMPUG00000028051.1)". Lineage: Eukaryota; Metazoa; Chordata; Mammalia; Carnivora; Mustelidae. The record is from RNAcentral.